UCUCCCUCAAUUCCUCAAUUCUUGGCUUUUGCAAUAAAGCUAUUGGCUGAAGAGUGGCAGAGCUGGUCAAUUCACAUCAAUCACCUCAAUCCGUCAACCCGUUGUACCAGAAGUUUCUUUCUCAUGGUUUCCUCCUGUUCUUCUCUCUUGAGUUUUCAUCUUCCUCUCAAAUCCACCGUUUCUCCACUUUUGUUCUGUAUACAUUUUCCCCCUUGAUUAAAUUUUCUCUCAUUCUCUGAUAAGUUUCAUAUUUUUUUGUCACAGGUUGAGAGGUCAGACUAUCAACUAAACCAUGAAAGAAAUGUGGAGAUUGUUCUCUAAAGGUGAACACUUUCUCUGUGAUUUUUUUUUUUCCUUUUUUUGUACAUUUUCUCCGGAUUUUUUCCCUUAUAUAUCUUUUCUGGCCAAGGUAUCUGUUGGAUAAAUAAGAAAGGAAAAAAGGAUGCAAUCUUUCUGUGUUUGAUGGCCGUUUUCUUUCCCGAGAUUUGUUAUCAACAGAUGUGAUUUUCUUAGAUCUUCAAAAAACCACGUCUAAUUUUUUUUCUUUUGUGAUGUUGCGAUGUUGCAGGUAUGAAAUUUGGAGAUUUUCUCCAUCGCCGUCAUGCUAUUUUGUAAGUUUUUUCCCCCUUUUGGAGACCCUUUUCCUCUCUUAUCCUUUGUUUUCUCUGAUCGACAACAACAAAACCAAAGAUCUGGUUGGGAUUUUUUGCUUCAGUUCAAUAUCUCUUUUUCCAAAGCUUCUCUACCCUUUUGUGGUUUCUUUCCUUUCAUUUUUUAACUUCCUUUUUUCCCCUUUUGUGAUGUUUUGAUGUCGCAAUUACGAAAUUUGCAGAUUACCUCCACCAUUCUCAUGCUUUUUUCUAAGUUUUUCCCCCUUUUUUAAAGGUAAGUUCUAUAUGAUUAUUUUCUAAAAAAGACUUAUUUUUGUUGUAUCCUCCCCUUAAUUUUUCCUUAUUUCCAUCUUUUUUCCCCCGUGACUAAAGACACGUCAAAAUGCAUUUAACAAAUUUGAUUAAGUUCUUUUUGAUGGAUUUAAAAAUUUUUUUGCCCAUGUUUGAUCAUAUAAUUUGUAUAUUUUUGUGAUGUUGCAGGUCCAAAAAUUGGAAUUUUAUUUGAUUCUCUCAAAAAACUACUAAUGCGGUAGUAUGGAUCAAUAUUAUUCCUAGCCUGUUUUGCAUAAUAUUGGUGGAGCGAGUCUUCUUCUAUUCGCUUAUAUGUGAUUACAAUUUAUAUUCUGCUUUUCUUUAUUUUUUUUCUCUGCAAAAGAGAUUGCUUUGGAUUUUUUUCAUUUAUUUAUUUGUUUUUAUAACCUAUUAGAUGUAAGUUUCAAUUUUGGUUAUCAUGAAGUGUUUAUCCUCUUAGUUGUGUCUUGGAAAGUUAGUUUUCUGACAUGUUUCCUUGAGCCUUUAUAUUGACAAUUUAUAAAUCCUCACUAGAUGUUAGGACUCAUUUGUGUAUUUCAUGGGUCUAUUCCUUUUGUGUUUUUUUGUACGUGGGGUUGCUUUUUUAUUUCUUCUUGUUUUUCCCCCUUUUUUGUUCUAAAGCACUGUAAUGAUACAAUCAUAUUUUAUUUAUCAAAUGUUUGAUAGAAUGCUAAAACCAUUAAUUUGUUAUACAGUAGCUAAAAUUGGAAAAAAAAUUGUCCACUCUAACCCACUUUCUUGACUUUCAACCGAAAGGCUUUGUUCCUCUAUCCAUGAAUUUCCUCUUCCUCUUCUCAUGGUCUUCACUUGCUAAUAAAAAAGGAGAGCUAUAUAUGCUUAUGUUAUCUCUUCUUCUAUUGUAGUUUUAAAAAAAGAAAAGUGGAGAUUGUUCUAUGAUAAAGUCUCUAAAAUUUCUCAAGGUAGUUUCCUCUAUUUUAUAGUAUUCUCUAUAUCAUCAUUUGGCCAGUAACGCUUACUAAUUCUUCUACACAGAGGUUAUGCCGGGCUUCCUUUUUUCCACCACCAACAUCGGUGCACAUGAGGUGAUAAAGUGGGUGUAUUUCUCCUGUUCUUUUGUUUAGGCCUUUAUUUUCCAUAGUUUGGUUGCCCGGUCUAUGUGAUUAUCCUCCGGAGAAAUGUUUUUGCUAAAGUUCUCUCUUGAAUAUCUCGCUUUUGGCCAUGGGCUCGAGGAGUCUGGAAACGUUCAUCAGAGUCGCUUUUCUUUUGGGCAUGGGCUCAAGGAGUCUGGACAACCAAGUUUAAUCCUUUUUUCAACUGAUCUUUAUUUUGUUGAAUGUCUCUAGCAAAUAUUUGUGUUAUACACUAAAAUGUAUUAUUGCCUUUUAAGGUGGCUUUUUCUUUCCACCUCAUUUAUCACAUACAUUCAAUAGAUGAUUUUACCUUUUUUUUUCUCUUUUUUUUUUCAAUUUACCUAAUUCAAUAUGUAUUAUUAGGUUCUCUAUACUGAGCUGAGGAACAUUAUGGUUUGUUAUCUAACAUUCGGCAGUUAGUUAAGAUACUUUCUGUCAUACUCUUUGUUCUUUAAUAGUUAUCAAGAAAUUGGGGGCCUUUUACAACAGGUAUGUGUUUUGUUUGUCCACUGCAACUAUGUAUUAUCAGGAAUUUGUAUUUAAUUAUAUGCUUUUGGUAUUAUGUUAAAUAUGUUCUAAGUGAUAUGAAAUAGGACUCUACUUCUUCUAAAUUUUCAAGUCUCAACUUGUGCUCUGAUUAUUAAAACCAUUGACAUUCAUGUAUUUGCUAAUAAUUGGGUGUUCGAUUUUAGUUUGCGAAGUUGCGUAUCUGUUAGUUUCAAUGAAUUCAUUUGAAUGAAGACAAUAAUUAAUGAUUUGCAUUUGAUGCUUGCUAAUAAUCAGUGGUUUAUUCCACUGGGGCAAAUCUUGCUUUAUUUUUUUUAAUCUUUAACCCCUUUUUAAAAACUAGAAGUGAGAUUUUUUGUCCUUGAUAGGUUUACCUUCCAAUAUGUAAGUUGUUGACUGGAAUUGUUUACAACCUAGAGGGGCUUGACUUUGAUGAUAAUUUCAUGGGAUGCUUGACUUCAAAAAAUUAAUGAUAAAUCUCAUUUGAUGCUUGUGAAAUGAAUGGUGGAAUUUUCCCUUUCUAUAAGGCAGAAGUGUUGUUUGGAUUUAAGCAUUUUGUCUUCUAUUAUUUUCUUAAAUAUGCUUUUAGUACUUCUGGUAAUAAAAGCGUUUCACUCAUUUGCACUUUAGAUGGUUAGGUACUGUUAUUUUUCUGGUGGUGACUUUCUUUUAACUGGCAAAAUGAUACGAAUCUUAGGAGCUGCCCAAAAGCUAUUACGUGGCCCAUUGACGAGUCGUUGGGGUCCAAUGAAGAGAGCCAAAGCCAAGCAUUCAAAGUUCAAGAAUUUCAUCUGCAACGCGUCGGACUGAUUCAGUUGUUUUAGCAGUUUCCGUUAUUUCCAAUUAUUUCCUAGUUUUAUUGCUUCCAAUUGGGUCUUGUAAGCCUACUAAGGCAUAUCUAGUAUGUUAGGGCAAUUAGUUAUGUUUUGGUGAAGUCUUCCAAUUCAAUUAGGAAACUUACCUCUUUCGCGUAGGCUUAGGUUCAGUUGUUUUGUAAGCCUAUAAAAGGCUGCUCAAUUCCAUAGAGAAGGGACUUUUUGGAUUUUCAGAAAUUAAGAGAGUUUCUCUAACUUCUUGUGAGCAGCCUUGAGCACCUUUAGAGGAUCUAAAGUUUUCGUUGACUUUAUCAAUCAGGAAACACGCCUGAUUGUGGUGUCUUCUACCGUUCGAAACUAUCUCGCGCUGCCCUUGAUAGUCUAGGACUCCGCUUACCCCAAACUCAUUACCUUGGUCUUGGGCUUGUGGUUCGAAUUCUGGCGUCCUCGGAUCCGAGUUUGUAUCAGUUGGUAUCAGAGCAUAGGUUAAGGUAUCAAGUUAUAUCCCUUUUAUUUUGUUCUUGUCGUAUUUGUUUAGAGUUUAUUAUUAGGGUUUUCUUCUUAAAUUCUUUUGUGUUGUCGGUCUGCCGCAGUUUGUGCUGCUAGUUGUCAGUUAAUCGUGUCUUUGUGUUUGGGUUUGGAAAAAAAAAACUCGAAAUCACUAUUCACGGCACUGUAGCGCCGUCACUGUUCACGGGUACUGUAGCACGGUUUUUGUAGCCGUACUGUUCACACGAUACUGUAGCAGCUACUGUUCAUCCGUUUCUUUUAAUUACAAGAAAAAAAAAUUUUGUGAAUUUUUGAGUCCUUGAAAUCACCAAAAAAAACAAAAAAGGGAGCCUAGCUGCACUUGCGUGAAUUAUUGGUAGUUGAUUGCUCAUCUAAGGUCAUUCUAAAUUUCCUCAAGGUGGGUGAUCAAGAGCUUUGAGAAAUUGGUGAGAAUUACUGGCACGUCCCAAUUUGAGUGACAUACACGAGUGUGAGAGAAAAUUGUGAAGGAGUGAAGUGAGGUUCUUUGUUUGUCAUUGAUCUCCCGCAGGUUUAAAACAUGUCAAACGAAGGUGAAUCCCAACCUUUUGAUUUAAGACUUCAAAUGGAGGAUAUGAUGGAAGAAUUCAGACGCAUGCUUAGAAACUCCAUUGAACCAUUGCACGAACGGAUGGAACAAUUGGAGUCAUCCAAAAAUCGAGCUAGUUCGAGCAGAGGAAGGUCGAGGCAAGUUGAGUCGGAUGCGUCUAAUAGUGAGGAUGGUGAGUUUGAUCUACAACCAAGGGUUGCCCGAGGAAGGAGAAACGGCGGGAAUGAAUCCAUCAAGGGAGUUAAGCUCAACAUCCCAUCAUUCCAGGGUAAGUCCGAUCCUGAGACAUACCUUGAAUGGGAACACAAAAUUGAGCUUGUUUCCGAGUGCAAUAACUAUUCAGAGCAGCAAAAGGUGAAACUUGCCGCCGUUGAAUUCACAAAUUAUGCAUCCGUAUGGUGGGAUCAACUUCGAACUAGUCGGAGGAAAAAUGGUGAGCGAGCAGUAGAAACUUGGGGAGAACUUAAAGGAAUCAUGAGGAGACGAUUUGUCCCAAGCUACUAUCAUAGGGAGUUACACCAACGGCUACAAACUCUCACUCAGGGCGACAAGAGUGUGGAGGACUAUUUCAAAGACAUGGAGAUGCUCAUGAUGAGAGCUGAUGUGAAUGAGGAUGCUGAAACCACUAUGGCACAAUUCCUCAAUGGCCUAAAAUCCAAUAUUGCUGAGAUAGUUGAACUCCAACAUUACAUGGAUAUGAGUGAAAUGUUGGAUAAGGCUGUGAAAGUUGAAAGGUGAAUCAAGAGGAGGGGUACCACUAGAUCUUCGUCCCAUGUAACUCCUUCAAGUUGGAGCACCAAUCCCGGACCUAAAGAGGAAAAACCUGCAAACUCAACUUCUCCACUCAAGCCUAAAGGGGACAUAGUUGGAUUGGGUACAAGUAAAGGAGCGCCAACCCCAUUCAAUGGUGCUUCUAACUCGCGCAAUCGGGAUUGAAAAUGCUUCAAGUGCCAGGGGUAUGGUCAUAUACAAUCCCAAUGCUCUAAUCAACGCAUUAUGGUUAUAAGGGACAAUGGUGAAGUAGCCACAAAUGAUGAGUCUGAUUAUGCAGGGAUGCCGCUUUUGACGGGUGAUGGGGACUCGGAGGAAGAGAUUGCACCGCUACCUGGGAAUGUAGGGUGUUUGGUUGCUCGUAGGACGUUAACCAUGCUUGCUAAGGAGGACGAGGGGUCUCAAUGGGAGAACAUCUUUUACACCCAUUGCAAAGUUAAGGAUAGGAUUUGCAACUUAAUUAUAGAUGGGGGAAGUUGCACCAAUGUUGCGAGUUUACUCAUGGUAGAAAAUUUGGCUCUCCCAACCAAGAAACAUCCUCGACCUUAUCGACUGUAAUGGUUGACAGCUGAUGGGGAUGUGCGAGUGUAUAGACAAGUAUCGAUGCCUAUUUGCAUAGGGAAGUAUGAGGAUGAGGUGAUCUGUGACGUUGUUCCCAUGCAAGCCACUCACAUUAUUUUGGGACGACCAUGGCAAUACGAUAAGGAUGUAUCCUUUGAAGGUCGAACUAAUAAGUAUUCUUUUAUCCAUGAUGGUAGGAAGAUUACUUUAGUCCCUUUAUCCCCCAACCAAGUUUGUGAAGAUCUAGAGAAGUUGAGGACGGAGAGUGCGCAUGAAGAUGCAAGGAAAAAGGAAAAUCGAGUUGCUAGCCAUGAGAGAAAGCAAAAUCUCUUGAUGCGCUUUACACCUGAGGGCAAUGCUUCGCGCCCCUCACCUCUAACAUUUGUUUUGUUUAGCGUCCACUCUUUUGUACAGGUUGAGCAAGGGGCAAAAGUUUUGGUCCUGCAAUGUUCUAUGCCUCCUUCCAUUGGAGCUUAUAACCGAAGUGCUGUUAGCCCGCGCUACCAAUUCUUGCGUUUCCACGAUUUGAGGACAAAUCUUUUUAAGAGGAGGGGAAUGAUACGAAUCUUAGGAGCUGCCCAAAAGCUAUUACGUGGCCCAUUGAGGGGUCGUUGGGGUCCAAUGAAGAGAGCCAAAGCCAAGCAUUCAAAGUUCAAGGAUUUCGUGUGCAACGCGUCGGACUGAUUCAGUUGUUUUAGCAGUUUCCGUUAUUUCCAAUUAUUUCCUAGUUUUAUUGCUUCCAAUUGGGUCUUGUAAGCCUACUAAGGCACAUCUAGUAUAUUAGGGUAAUUAGUUAUGUUUUGGUGAAGUCUUUCAAUUCAAUUAGGAAACUUACCUCUUUCGCGUAGGUUUAGGUUCAGUUGUUUUGUAAGCCUAUAAAAGGCUGCUCAAUUCCAUAAAGAAGGGACUUUUUGGAUUCUCUAGCUUCUUGUGAGCACCCUUGAGCACCUUUAGAGGAUCUAAAGUGUUUGUCGACUUUAUCAAUCAGGGAACACGCCUGAUUGUGGUGUCUUCUACCGUUCGAAACUAUCUCG
RNAcentral lists this long non-coding RNA (6780 nucleotides) under Coffea arabica (coffee). RNAcentral describes it as "long non-coding RNA (CARA_LNC007309)". The record is from RNAcentral. Lineage: Eukaryota; Viridiplantae; Streptophyta; Magnoliopsida; Gentianales; Rubiaceae.